RNAcentral lists this non-coding RNA (148 nucleotides) under Nomascus leucogenys (northern white-cheeked gibbon). The record is from Rfam by way of RNAcentral. Lineage: Eukaryota; Metazoa; Chordata; Mammalia; Primates; Hylobatidae.
GCCAGAUGUGGUGGUGCAUGCCUGUAAUCCCAGCUACUCAGGAGGCUGAGGCAGGGGAAUCGUUUGAGCCCAGGAGGUAGAGGUUGCAGUGAGCUGAGAUCGUGCCACUGCACACUAGCCUGGGCAACAGAGUGAGACUCUGUCUCAA